RNAcentral lists this ribosomal RNA (247 nucleotides) under uncultured bacterium. RNAcentral describes it as "partial 16S ribosomal RNA". It matches the Rfam family "Bacterial small subunit ribosomal RNA", at positions 523 to 769 of the family's 1533-position model. The record is from RNAcentral.
AUACGGAGGGCGCAAGCGUUAAUCGGAAUCACUGGGCGUAAAGCGCACGUAGGCGGCGAGAUAAGUCGGGCGUGAAAGCCCUCGGCCCAACCGAGGAAUUGCGUUCGAUACUGUUUGGCUUGAGUCCUGGAGAGGGUGGCGGAAUUCCGGGUGUAGGAGUGAAAUCCGUAGAUAUCCGGAGGAACACCGGUGGCGAAGGCGACCUACUGGACUGUAACUGACGCUGAAGCACGAAAGCGUGGGGAGC